GAUGAACGCUGGCGGCGUGCCUAAUACAUGCAAGUAGAACGCUGAAGCUUGGUGCUUGCACCGAGCGGAUGAGUUGCGAACGGGUGAGUAACGCGUAGGUAACCUGCCUGGUAGCGGGGGAUAACUAUUGGAAACGAUAGCUAAUACCGCAUGACAACAGUUAUUGCAUGAUAACUGUUUAAAAGGGGCAAUUGCUCCACUACCAGAUGGACCUGCGUUGUAUUAGCUAGUUGGUGAGGUAACGGCUCACCAAGGCGACGAUACAUAGCCGACCUGAGAGGGGGGUCGGCCACACUGGGACUGAGACACGGCCCAGACUCCUACGGGAGGCAGCAGUAGGGAAUCUUCGGCAAUGGACGGAAGUCUGACCGAGCAACGCCGCGUGAGUGAAGAAGGUUUUCGGAUCGUAAAGCUCUGUUGUAAGAGAAGAACGAGUGUGAGAGUGGAAAGUUCACACUGUGACGGUAUCUUACCAGAAAGGGACGGCUAACUACGUG
Molecule: ribosomal RNA, 497 nt
Filed under: uncultured bacterium
Lineage: Bacteria
Description: partial 16S ribosomal RNA
Rfam family: Bacterial small subunit ribosomal RNA
Source: RNAcentral